CAUUAUUUGAGAAUUGACAGUCUCCAGAAGCAUAAAUGUCACCUUGAUAGUAAGUACUGGGGCCCAUUAAAUCCAGAAAUUUACAUUUUCAUAGUUGCCACAAGAAUGAGAAUGCAGGCAAUAUAAUCAUUACUCGUUGGCAAUAUGAACAUCCAUAACCCAUUACUUCUGUCAGCUGUAUCCCCAGACUGGGCCACCUUCCGAAGGAGAGGCUGAUGAGUUACCUCCUGGGUGUGAGUCAGGACCUAUAUAACCAGGCUGGAAGUAAAUGACUUAGAUAUGUCCACAGACACUGGGCCAGGCAGCAAGUGAUGGUAAAUUCUGGAUCUUUGUACUGUCAAAAAAUACCUUGUAUUAUCCUCAAUGGGCUCAUACUUUGCUACCAAACUAUUAAUUAAGUAAAAAUCAGGUUUUCCCAUUUGUUUUCAUUAAUGGCAUACUGAACUGCCAAUUAGAGCUUGAGACCGGCAUCUGCCUAGAUGGUGUAACUGUUAAUUUGAUGUAACUCCAGUCAGAAGCAAAGAAAUCUGAUAUUUCAGAGGCUUUUGCCUUCUCGUUUCAGGUAAAAGCACAGCUUCUCUGGGGCUAUUUAAAAUACAGGAAAUUGUUUGAGAUUAUGGUGAGAAUGGGUUGAAGGACAUCUUAAACUUUUUUCAUAUAUUUUGCAGAGGCUCAUUGGUAUAAUUAUCUUGCAUUGUUUUAUUUAUUUUACAACGUAUUUCCAAACUCACUGCAAACAGCCUACAGGUUGGCCAUUAAUUGGGUAUCUUUUAUUUAUUUAUUUUCUUUGAUUGGAGGAGGGGUUGUUAGGGAAAAGGAAAACAGAGAAACUAUAUCAUCCUUCUUCCACUAAGUUCUCCUUAAUGUUCUCCAGAGUAAAAGGAAAAAAUCUCCAAGAGUAGGUCUCUUUACACUAGCCCCUUCCUUGUAAAACUCUCACUUAAGAUGCUACUUUUCACUGCUUCUUUUAAUGACCAUAUUACUUUGCUUUUAUUAGUUUGGCUUCUUUCUAACUUCUACUAAUGGAUGAGUUAACACAUGACUCACACUUAUAGUUAUUUAUUCUGAUGUUUGGGGAUACAGAGAUGCUUUUAAAAAAUUCCAUCUACAUAAGCAUUUGGACCACUUUGCACUAAAGGCCAUAUUUU
This 1148-nucleotide long non-coding RNA is filed under the name Monodon monoceros (narwhal). RNAcentral's name for it is "lncRNA (ENSMMNG00015002047.1)". Lineage: Eukaryota; Metazoa; Chordata; Mammalia; Artiodactyla; Monodontidae. The record is from RNAcentral.